CAGUCGCCACGGUAAUACGAAGGGUGCAAGCGUUAAUCGGAAUUACUGGGCGUAAAGCGUGCGUAGGCGGUUUGUUAAGUCUGCUGUGAAAUCCCUGGGCUCAACCUGGGACGUGCAGUGGAAACUGGCAAGCUAGAGUGUGAUAGAGGAUGGUGGAAUUCCCGGUGUAGCGGUGAAAUGCGUAGAGAUCGGGAAGAACAUCAGUGGCGAAGGCGGCCAUCUGGAUCAACACUGACGCUGAGGCACGAAAGCGUGGGGAGCAAACAGGAUUAGAUACCCGUGUAGUCCCUGUCUCUUAUAC
Molecule: ribosomal RNA, 301 nt
Filed under: uncultured bacterium
Lineage: Bacteria
Description: partial 16S ribosomal RNA
Rfam family: Bacterial small subunit ribosomal RNA
Source: RNAcentral